UAGCCUUGACAUUGAAGAAAUAGACCAGAGAUGGACUAGUGCCCUUCGGGGAAUCUGAAAACAGGUGCUGCACGGCUGUCGUCAGCUCGUGUCGUGAGAUGUUGGGUUAAGUCCCGCAACGAGCGCAACCCUCGUCAAUAGUUGCCAGCAGGUUAAGCUGGGCACUCUAUUGAGACUGCCUUCGCAAGGAGGAGGAAGGUGAGGACGACGUCAAGUCAUCAUGGCCCUUAUGGCUAGGGCUACACACGUGCUACAAUGGGGCGUACAGAGUGUUGCGAUACCGCGAGGUGGAGCCAAUCACUUAAAGCGUCUCUCAGUUCGGAUUGGAGUCUGCAACUCGACUCCAUGAAGCUGGAAUCACUAGUAAUCGUAGAUCAGCAAUGCUACGGUGAAUACGUUCCCGGGUCU
RNAcentral lists this ribosomal RNA (408 nucleotides) under uncultured bacterium. RNAcentral's name for it is "bacterial SSU rRNA". It matches the Rfam family "Bacterial small subunit ribosomal RNA", at positions 976 to 1381 of the family's 1533-position model. The record is from RNAcentral.